GGAAUAUUGGGCAAUGGGCGAAAGCCUGACCCAGCAACGCCGCGUGAAGGAAGAAGGCCUUCGGGUUGUAAACUUCUUUUAUGAGGGACGAAGGACGUGACGGUACCUCAUGAAUAAGCCACGGCUAACUACGUGCCAGCAGCCGCGGUAAUACGUAGGUGGCAAGCGUUGUCCGGAUUUACUGGGUGUAAAGGGCGCGUAGGCGGGGUGGCAAGUCAGAUGUGAAAUGCAGGGGCUCAACUCCUGAACUGCGUUUGAAUCUGUCGCUCUUGAGUAGCGGAGAGGCAAGCGGAAUUCCUAGUGUAGCGGUGAAAUGCGUAGAUAUUAGGAGGAACACCAGUGGCGAAGGCGGCUUGCUGGACGACAACUGACGCUGAGGCGCGAAAGCGUGGGGAGCAAACA
This 402-nucleotide ribosomal RNA is filed under the name uncultured bacterium. Its description in RNAcentral is "bacterial SSU rRNA". It matches the Rfam family "Bacterial small subunit ribosomal RNA", at positions 358 to 774 of the family's 1533-position model. The record is from RNAcentral.